Molecule: transfer RNA, 91 nt
Filed under: Callithrix jacchus (white-tufted-ear marmoset)
Lineage: Eukaryota; Metazoa; Chordata; Mammalia; Primates; Cebidae
Rfam family: tRNA
About the family: Transfer RNA (tRNA) molecules are approximately 80 nucleotides in length. Their secondary structure includes four short double-helical elements and three loops (D, anti-codon, and T loops).
Source: Rfam by way of RNAcentral
CCUUUGAUAGCUCAGCUGGUAGAGCAGAGGACUGUAGAGGUUUGUAGCUACUGUUAUCCUUAGGUCGGUGGUUCGAUUCCGCCUCGAAGAA